Long non-coding RNA from Ictalurus punctatus (channel catfish), 341 nucleotides. The record is from Ensembl. Lineage: Eukaryota; Metazoa; Chordata; Actinopteri; Siluriformes; Ictaluridae.
CUCAAAUAUGAAACAUUAAACUUUGACAUGCAGUCAAUACUUGUCAAUACUGUUGCUGUGCAACAGACAUGUUUUUAACAAGAACACACUUUCAAAGAAAAUGACUUCUAGCUUGAAGACAGCGAAGACAGAUCCGUGCUUACCGCCACCUCUGGUGAAAGCUACCGCAUGCCACUGUCCACAGGCAUCCAGUCUUCAGGAUGCUCCUUCUACAGCUUCCACAAAAGCUCUAUCUGCGGAUGGAGGAGUCGCGACGCGAGCUCCAAAAUCCAGCAGAGAGCCGGACCUGGAAGACAGAGCAAGAGAUAGAGCAGCGCUUGUCUCUGGUUCUUCUUCUUGAG